RNAcentral lists this ribosomal RNA (272 nucleotides) under uncultured Azonexus sp. Its description in RNAcentral is "partial 16S ribosomal RNA". It matches the Rfam family "Bacterial small subunit ribosomal RNA", at positions 340 to 604 of the family's 1533-position model. The record is from RNAcentral. Lineage: Bacteria; Pseudomonadati; Pseudomonadota; Betaproteobacteria; Rhodocyclales; Azonexaceae.
UACGGGAGGCAGCAGUGGGGAAUUUUGGACAAUGGGGGCAACCCUGAUCCAGCCAUGCCGCGUGAGUGAAGAAGGCCUUCGGGUUGUAAAGCUCUUUCGGCCGGGAAGAAAUCGUGUGGGCUAAUACCUCACAUGGAUGACGGUACCGGAAUAAGAAGCACCGGCUAACUACGUGCCAGCAGCCGCGGUAAUACGUAGGGUGCGAGCGUUAAUCGGAAUUACUGGGCGUAAAGCGUGCGCAGGCGGUUUUGAAGACAGGCGGAUCCCGCACA